GUGCUCCCUUCAGGCAGCACUUAUACUAAAAUUGGAACAAUACAGAGAAGAUUAGCAUGGCCCUUGCGCAAGAAUCACCACGCCUUGAUUAUCUUAUCAUGUAGACUUUU
Artibeus jamaicensis (Jamaican fruit-eating bat) is the source of this 110-nucleotide small nuclear RNA. The record is from RefSeq and is a predicted model, not a curated record. NCBI's taxonomy places the organism in Eukaryota, Metazoa, Chordata, Mammalia, Chiroptera, Phyllostomidae.